AAAGGAAGUUGGAGAAACAUGUAUGCCCCAGAUGCUCAGGAGAUCUCCUAUUUGGAGCACAUCCAUAGGCGUCAUGAGGAGAAGGGCUGCCUCUACGCAUGUGUGUUUGCGGCAUGUUGCUGCUUCUGCUGUGUCGAGACUUGCGAGUGCUGCCUGGACUGCCUCUGCUGCUGCUUCACUUGAAUCUGGAAGAUCUGGAUCAGUCUCCUUUACCUAGGGCCGAGUAUGUAUCUUUGUGUGCUUUAGAAUAAGUAGAAUAAUUCAUGCAGAACUGCUGUGUUCUGUUUGUUGGGUAAAUCUUGUAAUUGGGAAUUGAUCUCUAAGUUCCUUCUGUCUUGUUUUCCGUUGUGAUAUAUUUGUUA
RNAcentral lists this unclassified non-coding RNA (362 nucleotides) under Hevea brasiliensis (rubber tree). The record is from RNAcentral. Lineage: Eukaryota; Viridiplantae; Streptophyta; Magnoliopsida; Malpighiales; Euphorbiaceae.